UACGGGGGGGGCAAGCGUUGUUCGGAAUUACUGGGCGUAAAGGGCGCGUAGGCGGCCUUCUAAGUCGAACGUGAAAUCCCCGGGCUCAACCCGGGAACUGCGUCCGAUACUGGAAGGCUUGAAUCCGGGAGAGGGAUGCGGAAUUCCAGGUGUAGCGGUGAAAUGCGUAGAUAUCUGGAGGAAUACCGGUGGCGAAGGCGGCAUCCUGGACCAUUACUGACGCUGAGGCGCGAAAGCUAGGGGAGCAAACGGG
Molecule: ribosomal RNA, 253 nt
Filed under: uncultured bacterium
Lineage: Bacteria
Description: partial 16S ribosomal RNA
Rfam family: Bacterial small subunit ribosomal RNA
Source: RNAcentral